RNAcentral lists this non-coding RNA (187 nucleotides) under Natranaerobius thermophilus. Lineage: Bacteria; Bacillati; Bacillota; Clostridia; Natranaerobiales; Natranaerobiaceae. The record is from RNAcentral. RNAcentral also lists the same sequence under 1 other name.
AAUAUUAGCGAGUUAACAGGUGCCGGGUAACACCGGUUAAAAGGGAAUCAGGUGAAAAUCCUGAGCGGUCCCGCCACUGUGACUGGUCUAAGGGAUGGUCCGGAUACCACUGGAUAGCCAAGCUAUCUGGGAAGGUGGAUCAUUCUAUGCCAGGAGCCAGGAAACCUGCCUGUUAACCCGUACUCAC